GAUGAACGCUGGCGGCGUGCCUAAUACAUGCAAGUCGAGCGAACGGACGAGAAGCUUGCUUCCCUGAUGUUAGCGGCGGACGGGUGAGUAACACGUGGAUAACCUACCUAUAAGACUGGGAUAACUUCGGGAAACCGGAGCUAAUACCGGAUAAUAUUUUGAACCGCAUGGUUCAAAAGUGAAAGACGGUCUUGCUGUCACUUAUAGAUGGAUCCGCGCUGCAUUAGCUAGUUGGUAAGGUAACGGCUUACCAAGGCAACGAUGCAUAGCCGACCUGAGAGGGUGAUCGGCCACACUGGAACUGAGACACGGUCCAGACUCCUACGGGAGGCAGCAGUAGGGAAUCUUGCGCAAUGGGCGAAAGCCUGACGGAGCAACGCCGCGUGGGUGAUGAAGGUCUUCGGAUCGUAAAACUCUGUUAUUAGGGAAGAACAUAUGUGUAAGUAACUGUGCACAUCUUGACGGUACCUAAUCAGAAAGCCACGGCUAACUACGUG
This 497-nucleotide ribosomal RNA is filed under the name uncultured bacterium. Its description in RNAcentral is "partial 16S ribosomal RNA". It matches the Rfam family "Bacterial small subunit ribosomal RNA", at positions 28 to 507 of the family's 1533-position model. The record is from RNAcentral.